Molecule: long non-coding RNA, 467 nt
Organism: Girardinichthys multiradiatus
Lineage: Eukaryota; Metazoa; Chordata; Actinopteri; Cyprinodontiformes; Goodeidae
Exons: 2
Source: RefSeq, a predicted model, not a curated record
CCUUAGUGGUACAGCUCAAGCCACAUUACCUUGUCUUGUUCCUUGCCUUGAUUCUUAGUCAUUUGUAUUUGUUACCUUGCAGGAUUACCAGAACCUGACCUUGUCUUUUCGUGUGGAACUCUGCCUGGAUUUACCACUUCUGGAAAGAAGCUAUCAAGCUCCAUGAACAAAGAUUCAAACCUCUUGGACCUCACUGGAUGGCAGCCUCCUGUAUUCUUCACUCCUUGUAUACCAUUCAAGAACACCUGUCCACCCUCCCCCUUCCACCACACCUACUUCUGAAGACCCUGGACCUGCUUAUCAUUAUGGCACACUAUUAUUCCACCAUCAUCUGUCUCACGGGUAAACAACUAUUUGGUCUCUCCACUUCUCACCCUCUGGUGGAUCAUUCUAUCAACCCAUUGGUUUCCUGGUUCCAGUUUCCCUGCCUAUGCCACUGCACUGUAAAUAAACACUUUACUGUAAAA